RNAcentral lists this RNase P RNA (309 nucleotides) under Thermoplasmatales archaeon. Its description in RNAcentral is "RNase P RNA component". It matches the Rfam family "Archaeal RNase P". Rfam says of the family: Ribonuclease P (RNase P) is a ubiquitous endoribonuclease, found in archaea, bacteria and eukarya as well as chloroplasts and mitochondria. Its best characterised activity is the generation of mature 5'-ends of tRNAs by cleaving the 5'-leader elements of precursor-tRNAs. Lineage: Archaea; Methanobacteriati; Thermoplasmatota; Thermoplasmata; Thermoplasmatales. The record is from RNAcentral.
GAAAGCCCGAGGGCAACUGACGCUCCAAUGGAGUGAGGAAAGUCCCCUCUCCACGGUGGAUCCCAGCCGGCGCAAGCCGGUAUUCCGAGAGGGAUGGUAAAGAGAAAAGAAAUGUACGGUUCCGGGUAAAGUGUGAUAAGAAAAUUUGACGUUUCCCGGAGUACCGAUGGGAACUCUCCCUGGGUGGAGAAAGUCUAAACAGACCCCAUGAGACCACUGUGAGGGUCAGGUAAGACGCAGGCCUUGGCCAUACAGUCGAAUGUUGCCAGCCCGCAAGGGUGAACAGAAAGGGGCUUAUUCCGGGCAUUC